GCGAGAAAGGUACCCGGGAGGGGUGGUUGGGCCAGGCAGGUGGUCUGUCCUUUGCUUGCUUGGUUUGUAAUUUCUGAGUGAAGGAAACCUCAGUGUGGUUGGACAGAUGUGUUAAAAAUUGCAUUACAAAUGUAAUAAAAAUUGUUCUUCAGAAUGUUAAUUGGCACGGGGGAUAGGCUGUGAUGAGAUCUGUCCUAGCUGAUAAUUGCAUGAAAAGCCUGCAGGAUUUAGGCUUGAGUAGAUACACAUGGAUUUUAAUGUGACACGAGGCUUUUUUUUUUUUUUUUUUUCCUCUUGUAGACCAUAGGGAACUCCUGCAAAUAGCAAAAGCCAAUGCUGCAAUAAAAAUUGUUCUUCAGAAUGUUAAUUGGCACAGGAGACAGGCUGUGAUGAGAUCCGUCCUAGCUGAUGAUUGAAUGGAUGUAAAAUGUGCAGCAUUUAGGUUUGAGGUACACGUGGAUUUUAAUGUGACACAAAGCACUUUUUUAAUUCCUUUCUCUUGUAGACAAGAGGGAACUCCUGGAAAUUGCGAAAGCCAAUGCAGCCAAAGCUCUGGGAACAGACAACAUUGUCCUGCCAGCCAGCCUGAGGAUCUCUGCCCCUGCCAAGGAGAUCAAAACCGAGAAGCAGGAGCGUGAGGAGGCCACGGAGUCAGCUGAGCAACCUGGGAGUGCAGCUGAGGACGAGAGCAAGGCUGGCAUGGAGAGAGCAACCAUCCAGAGGAGCAUUUCCUUCAGCCCUAAUAACACAAUGGCCAAGCCUGCCCUGCAGAAGCCAGUGAGCCACCCUGUGGUUAAGGAGCCAGUGGUUUCUCCAGCCAGGGAGGAUGACAGGAAGGGAAGCCCCUAUGGGCAGUGGGUUCCUGUCAAGAAGGAGGAGAAGAAAACAUUCCUGAACUUCUCACCCAAAAGCUCCCUGUUCCGGGCACGCUGAGGGGAGCCCCUGGCACUGCAGCACCCUCAGCACAGAGGGACACUCAGGAGGGCUUGAAGACUUGUUAAUACUGAGUAUUUAUUUUGAGGUCUUAAUUUUUGGAAUCUUAGGUUUCUCUUUCAGAUAGAGAGCACACAGAUCCAGAAGCCAAGAUGGGAAUCUUGUGUAUAUUUGUAAAUAUUUUAUAUUGCUUUAUUGGACUAGAACUUGCAGGUGGGUAACUUUUUCUAAACCAUAGUUGAGUAGCUGUUCUUUGCACACCUGGAUUUCCCUUGUGUAACUGUUUACUUCAAGUGAAUAAAGUUUAGUUUUGCACUGGCUGUGUCGGGUGU
Molecule: long non-coding RNA, 1265 nt
Filed under: Zonotrichia albicollis (white-throated sparrow)
Lineage: Eukaryota; Metazoa; Chordata; Aves; Passeriformes; Passerellidae
Description: lncRNA (ENSZALG00000000204.1)
Source: RNAcentral